This 135-nucleotide ribosomal RNA is filed under the name uncultured bacterium. RNAcentral describes it as "partial 16S ribosomal RNA". It matches the Rfam family "Bacterial small subunit ribosomal RNA", at positions 355 to 507 of the family's 1533-position model. The record is from RNAcentral. RNAcentral also lists the same sequence under 1 other name.
UGGGGAAUAUUGCACAAUGGGGGAAACCCUGAUGCAGCGACGCCGCGUGAGUGAAGAAGUAUUUCGGUAUGUAAAGCUCUAUCAGCAGGGAAGAUGAUGACGGUACCUGAGUAAGAAGCCCCGGCUAACUACGUG